AAGUCGUAACAAGGUUUCCGUAGGUGAACCUGCGGAAGGAUCAUUACCGAGUAAGGGCUCCCCCUGUCGGGGGCCCGACCUCUCCACCGUGCUGAAUCGGACCCUGUUGCUUCAGCGGGCUGGAGGGUGAUGGUAGCCCCAUCCCCUUCCACCGCGAUGCCCGCUGGAGACCCUUUCAAUGCUGCAACAAUGCCGUCGUCUGAGUGGGAAUGAAAAAUCUAGUCGCAAAACUUUCAACAAUGGAUCUCUUGGUUCCG
This 257-nucleotide unclassified non-coding RNA is filed under the name Elaphomyces maculatus. Its description in RNAcentral is "partial internal transcribed spacer region". The stretch from base 1 to 46 matches the Rfam family "Eukaryotic small subunit ribosomal RNA", at positions 1786 to 1831 of the family's 1831-position model. Lineage: Eukaryota; Fungi; Ascomycota; Eurotiomycetes; Eurotiales; Elaphomycetaceae. The record is from RNAcentral.